CGCCCUUGAAAUACCACCCUUUAAUGGCUGGUGUUCUAACGUGGGCCCGUAAUCCGGGUUGCGGACAGUGUCUGGUGGGUAGUUUGACUGGGGCGGUCUCCUCCUAAAGAGUAACGGAGGAGCACGAAGGUCAGCUAAUCCUGGUCGGACAUCAGGAGGUUAGUGCAAUGGCAUAAGCUGGCUUGACUGCGAGCGUGACGGCGCGAGCAGGUGCGAAAGCAGGUCAUAGUGAUCCGGUGGUUCUGAAUGGAAGGGCCAUCGCUCAACGGAUAAAAGGUACUCCGGGGAUAACAGGCUGAUACCGCCCAAGAGUUCAUAUCGACGGCGGUGUUUGGCACCUCGAUGUCGGCUCAUCACAUCCUGGGGCUGAAGUAGGUCCCAAGGGUAUGGCUGUUCGCCAUUUAAAGUGGUACGCGAGCUGGGUUUAGAACGUCGUGAGACAGUUCGGUCCCUAUCUGCCGUGGGCGCUGGAGAACUGAGGGGGGCUGCUCCUAGUACGAGAGGACCGGAGUGGACGCAUCACUGGUGUUCGGGUUGUCAUGCCAAUGGCACUGCCCGGUAGCUAAAUGCGGAAGAGAUAAGUGCUGAAAGCAUCUAAGCACGAAACUUGCC
Molecule: ribosomal RNA, 612 nt
Filed under: Citrobacter koseri
Lineage: Bacteria; Pseudomonadati; Pseudomonadota; Gammaproteobacteria; Enterobacterales; Enterobacteriaceae
Description: partial 23S ribosomal RNA
Rfam family: Bacterial large subunit ribosomal RNA
Source: RNAcentral